This 460-nucleotide ribosomal RNA is filed under the name uncultured bacterium. RNAcentral's name for it is "partial 16S ribosomal RNA". It matches the Rfam family "Bacterial small subunit ribosomal RNA", at positions 338 to 795 of the family's 1533-position model. The record is from RNAcentral.
CCUACGGGAGGCAGCAGUGAGGAAUAUUGGUCAAUGGACGAGAGUCUGAACCAGCCAAGUAGCGUGAAGGAUGACUGCUCUAUGGGUUGUAAACUUCUUUUAUAAAGGAAUAAAACGAGGCACGUGUGCCUUUUUGCAUGUACUUUAUGAAUAAGGAUCGGCUAACUCCGUGCCAGCAGCCGCGGUAAUACGGAGGAUCCGAGCGUUAUCCGGAUUUAUUGGGUUUAAAGGGGGCGUAGAUGGGUUGUUAAGUCAGUUGUGAAAGUUUGCGGCUCAACCGUAAAAUUGCAAUUGAUACUGGCAGUCUUGAGUACAGUUGAGGUAGGCGGAAUGCGUGGUGUAGCGGUGAAAUGCUUAGAUAUCACGAAGAACCCCGAUUGCGAAGGCAGCUUACUAAGCUGUGACUGACAUUGAUGCUCGAAAGUGUGGGUAGCAAACAGGAUUAGAUACCCCUGUAGUC